Molecule: ribosomal RNA, 354 nt
Filed under: uncultured bacterium
Lineage: Bacteria
Description: bacterial SSU rRNA
Rfam family: Bacterial small subunit ribosomal RNA
Source: RNAcentral
AUUGAACGCUGGCGGCAUGCUUUACACAUGCAAGUCGAACGGUAACAGGCCUUCGGGCGCUGACGAGUGGCGAACGGGUGAGUAAUGCAUCGGAACGUGCCCAGAGGUGGGGGAUAACGCAGCGAAAGCUGUGCUAAUACCGCAUAUUAUCUGAGGAUGAAAGCGGGGGACGUAAGCAGUGGGGAAUUUUGGACAAUGGGCGCAAGCCUGAUCCAGCAAUGCCGCGUGCAGGAAGAAGGCCUUCGGGUUGUAAACUAGCUUUUGUUACGGAGCGAAAAGGACUCUCUCUAAUACAGGGGGUUCGAUGACGGUACCGUAAGAAUAAGCACCGGCUAACUACGUGCCAGCAGCCGC